GAUGAACGCUGGCGGCGUGCCUAACACAUGCAAGUCGAGCGAACGGACGAGAAGCUUGCUUCUCUGAUGUUAGCGGCGGACGGGCGAGUAACAAGUGGAUAACCUACUUCUAAGUCUGGGAUAACUUCGGGAAAACGGAGCUAAUACUGGCUAAUAUUUUGAACCGCAUGGAUCAAAAGUGAAUGACGGUCUUGGCGUCUCAUUUAGAUGGAUUCGGGUUGCAUUAGUUAGUUGGUAAGGUAACGACCCACAAAGGCAACGAUGCAUAGCCGACGUGAGAGGAUGAUCGGCCCCACUGGAACUGAGACACGGUCCAGACUCCUACGGGAGGCAGCAGUGGGGAAUAUUGGACAAUGGGCGAAAGCCUGAUCCAGCAAUACCGCGUGGGUGAAGAAGGCCUUCGGGUUGUAAAGCCCUUUUGUUGGGAAAGAAAAGCAGCAGGUUAAUAGCACGCUGUUUUGACGGUACCUAAAGAAUAAGCACCGGCUAACUUCGUG
This 497-nucleotide ribosomal RNA is filed under the name uncultured bacterium. Its description in RNAcentral is "partial 16S ribosomal RNA". It matches the Rfam family "Bacterial small subunit ribosomal RNA", at positions 28 to 507 of the family's 1533-position model. The record is from RNAcentral.